RNAcentral lists this ribosomal RNA (499 nucleotides) under uncultured bacterium. RNAcentral describes it as "partial 16S ribosomal RNA". It matches the Rfam family "Bacterial small subunit ribosomal RNA", at positions 28 to 507 of the family's 1533-position model. The record is from RNAcentral.
GACGAACGCUGGCGGCGUGCUUAACACAUGCAAGUCGAACGGGCCCGCUCUCUUUUUUGGGGGUGGGUUGAGUGGCGAACGGGUGAGUAUCACGUGAGUAACCUGCCCCCUGCUCCUGGAUAACUGCUUGAAAGGGCGGCUAAUACGGGGUGUGCCGGCUGGUCCGCAUGGGCCUGGUCGGGAUAGUUUCAUCUUCGGGUGUUUCGGUGGGGGAUGGGCUCGCGGCCUAUCAGCUUGUUGGUGGGGUGAUGGCCCACCAAGGCGGUGACGGGGAGCCGGCCUGAGAGGGUGGGCGGCCACACUGGGACUGAGACACGGCCCAGACGCCUGCGGGAGGGAGCAGGGGGGGGUAUGGAACAAUGGGCGGAAGCCGGAUGCAGCGACGUCGCGUGAGGGAUGGAGGCCGUCGGGUGGUGAACCUAUUUCUCCGGGGGGGAAGGCCCUGUCCGUUGCGGCGGGGUUGACGGUAGCCGGGUAUGAAGCGCCGGCUAACUACGUG